AAAUCAUACCUACCACUGCCUCCCGACUUCAUAAAUCUCAAAAGCUAAUGCAUAAAGCAAAGGCAAGUAGAGAGGAAUAUGACGAUGGAUAUGCCAUUUCAAGCCCCAUCUUGGUGAGGCUUUUUCCUCAGCAUCUCCUUUGAACUGCUUUUUUUCCCCAUCUCACCUGCAAUGCGUGGAGAUGAGAGUGGAAGGAAUCUAAUAUGCUUGGGAAAAAAGCCUUUUUCUAGAAGUAGAUGCAAAGGAUAAGAAAAACUUGAUCAUGGCCGUGAAAAGUUGCCUUUGAAGGAGAUCAAUAGCACACCUCUCUAGCAUAUGCUUAUUCUUCAAUGGUUUAUUCGGUGUCAUAAGCCCCCGGUGAAGGGCAUAUAAA
RNAcentral lists this long non-coding RNA (373 nucleotides) under Actinidia chinensis (golden kiwifruit). RNAcentral describes it as "long non-coding RNA (ACHI_LNC007632)". Lineage: Eukaryota; Viridiplantae; Streptophyta; Magnoliopsida; Ericales; Actinidiaceae. The record is from RNAcentral.